CACGUAGGGCGCGAGCGUUGUCCGGAAUUAUUGGGCGUAAAGAGCUCGUAGGCGGCCUGUUGCGUCCGCUGUGAAAGCCCGGGGCUUAACCCCGGGUCGGCAGUGGAUACGGGCAGGCUAGAGGUAGGUAGGGGAGAAUGGAAUUCCCGGUGUAGCGGUGAAAUGCGCAGAUAUCAGGAGGAACACCUGUGGCGAAAGCGGCGCACUGGACCACAACUGACGCUGAGGCGCGAAAGCUAGGGGAGCAAACAGG
RNAcentral lists this ribosomal RNA (253 nucleotides) under uncultured bacterium. Its description in RNAcentral is "partial 16S ribosomal RNA". It matches the Rfam family "Bacterial small subunit ribosomal RNA", at positions 524 to 776 of the family's 1533-position model. The record is from RNAcentral.